This is a long non-coding RNA of Triticum dicoccoides, 1982 nucleotides long. RefSeq lists it as uncharacterized. Lineage: Eukaryota; Viridiplantae; Streptophyta; Magnoliopsida; Poales; Poaceae. The record is from RefSeq and is a predicted model, not a curated record. The transcript has 11 exons.
AGCGCAACGGGGUGAGGGGCGUCGAUGAGAUGCUCCUGGUGCCUCCCUCCGAGUGGGAGGGGGAGAGGGACGUCAGCGGCGAGCCGGAUGGGGCGAGGGGCGUCGAUGAGAUGCCCCCGGCGCUUCCCUCCGGGCGGGAGGAGGAGAGGGGCGUCGGCGGUGAGGCGGGUGUCGGCGGCGAGAUGGUCUCUGACUGGCGUGAUGAGGCGGGCAGCUUAGGCGUGAAGCGUGCGUUCGUGGAGGUAUUCGCCAGGGCGCUCUUCUAUCCGACGGUGAUGCUCAACUACGGCCGCAGUUUGAUCGAGCCCGAGUUCCACUGGUGGGAUCGCAUCGACAAGGAUAUUUGGAUAGGGGCAGUUCCUCACCAACCAAUGUCAUAAUUUAUCACGUCCGCAAAUGAUUUUUGGACUGUAGUUUGGAUUGUUCUGCCGAGCGUAUAACAACGCAUGCUAUCUAUCAAAGCUUCGACUCAUUUGUUUUGCUGCUCCGGAAUAUUGAGACGAGAAGAAUGGCCUUGAUGCUGGAGGUUAAUGGAUCACCCUGGGAACGAUUUUGAGGGCAUUAUGCCAGCUACUUUGAUGGCAAUGGAUUAUGGAAUGGCAAACUAACAGGGCACAUCGCACAACUGGUAUAAAUGUGUUGAUAUGUUGCAUUUCAAGGCAGUUUCACUCAUAAAUACUACACAGUUUGAACAAUUUAGCAUUUGGGACCACGAGGAUUCCGAUUGGGAGAACGACGUCGUCCAUAGAUUAAUGUAUGGGAACACCGAGCCAACCCACUUUACAGGACAGGAGGGUUGACCGCUGGGCGAUGCGCUGCACGAGUAGGCCAGGAGGAACAAGAGUAGAAGAGGACUGUAGCCUGUAGGUGAGAGAAGAUGAUGCCAUUGCCAUCUUGACUGAAGGUUGGGCAUCUAAAGAUGCUUGGCAACCAGAACUCUGAAGCUAAACACCACUUGAAGGUACCUGGAAAUACAUUACUUGCUGAAGCUGCACAUCCUACGCCCCAGGAGGAGGCCAAAUGCAUAUUCCGAUCAUGUGAUCUAAAUACUAAAGCUUCCUUGCUGGAUCUAAGCAUACUUCCGUAGCAGCCGGAGCUGAACAUUUAGAGAGACCAUACUGUAGCAAGCUUGCUUUCCAGGGACCUGGUGUUUCUGCAAACCCAACGAUAGGCGUGUUUGAAAAAAAAAGUAUGCAAGCUUCUAAGCGCCGGAUCGAUGUCGUACUAACAAAUUAAGCUAAAUGGCGCGCCCGCUGUAGCAAGUGAGUGCCCAUCGAAAUCACCUUGAGCAUAUUUGCGCUGAUUUUCAUGAUUGCUCUUCUGCCAGCAACAAUGUUCCUCGCACUUCGACCACACAACUGUUCCGGAAGAUGUCAUGAAGAAUUUCUUUCAGAGAAUUUGCGUGAGGUGUGUCUAAAUGAUUUUUAUCUUCUGAACAUAUUCUUGUAUGACUAACUGAAUUCAUUUUCUCAAAACGUUGGUACUUUUCCUUUUUCAUUUAUGUUGCUCGACUGAGUCUCUCUCGGAUCAUGUACACUCCACAUGCUAGCUGAUCUGUAGCAGUGCGGAAGGUGAGCUUGGCUGCCGGCAGCAGCUCCUUUGGCUGAUCUGCGGCGAUGCAGAAGUUGGGUUGGAAAAAAGCACGACCGGCUGCUCUGAAGUGGGUCGUAGGGAGAGCUUCGUAAGAGAUAGGGAGGGAGCUCUAUUGGCCCGUGCAUGACAUCCAACCCAAUGGCAUCAUGCCCUGGUAGGCAUGGUUGCAUGGCCACGGGGAGAAUGGAGCAAGUAGCGUGCGAGGAGUUUAAGAAAUGGGGACAAGGGACAGUUUAGUUAAUUAAGUCUAUGUUAGUUUUAAGUUUUAUCCUUGUUGCGGUAAAAAAUUAAGGUUGGAUUAACCACCAUGUACAUCUUUAAUUACUUUUAAAUAAGAAAUAUAAUCAAAAUAUUCUUUUGAAAUCAUAAAAUUUAUAUAAUUUGUACAA